AGAAAAAGCUUCAUUAAGAAAUGUGUUUGUCGGGAGCAGAAACUGCGAGCGAAUGAAAAUGGGAGCCAACCACAGGAAGUAAAUUUCAAUAAAUCACCAGUACUUGACAACUUUUGGGAAGGCAAAAGGCCUUUCUCUGCUGCCUGUUGCCACAUACCAGGCUGCUGUGUUGAAAGGGAGAAAGGAGUAAAAAGCUGGAAGGAAAAAUGCUGGACACAGGAUCUUCUUUUUUUUAAUUAUCUCUUUUAAAAAAUGGAUGCAAAAUGUCAGGACAGACACUCUGGAUUAUCAUUUGUUUGCUUCAGAAAAUAAAGAAUGGAUUACAACGUUGUGAGGCAGGAUGUCCGUGGAUCUUCAUGUUUCUUUGAACCAAAAGGUGAAUAUUUAUCGAAGAUCAUAAUCUAUCAGUAAUGCUGUUUUGUACAAUUGAUUCAUCACAACAAAUUGCAACUGUGCAAAUCCAGAAAUAUCUGGCUUAUGCUGGGGUCUUAUGAGGAGGGGUCAAGCACUGGGGUGCCCCAGAAGUGAACUACAUGAGAAAGGAGAAUGGGAACUAACUUCAAAGCAUUUAAAAAAGAAAAAAGCAAGUGGAUGUUAAAAUGAAAAUCCAGGAUGUAGACCAGAGAACAAAGCACCUAGAACCUUCCUUAAGAAAAGAGGCCUGAUGUUCACUUAAAUGACUUCAAUUUCAUGGGACUGGAAUUCAGAAUGGAAUUUUGUUAACAAUGAUUCUAGAUGAAUGGCUAAUUUAAUAUUUGCGUAAAUGUUUAUAGAAAUACCUAAUUCUUUUUUUUUAUUAUUUUCAUAAUGCAUAAUUUAAGCUUCCAGAAGACAUUUUUGGGGAAGCGCAACGUUCCCCUUGGGCGGCUGGCACUAAUCCCAUAAAACAUUCACAUUCUCAACAUACAGCACAAUCCUCUAAUAUAAUGCAUUCAAUAAAUUAUCCUUUAAGUUAUCUUUUUUAACUGAGGUAAGUGCAUCUAGUUGCUACAAACUGAGCAUUCGUUUUCUGCUAAUGCUUGAAAUGGCAAGAAUGAUCAGGUCCGAGCCCACCCUUCCAAGCACAGCUCACUGAUGUUUAAGACUUUCUUCUUUUCAGUAUACAACAUAUAUUCUGAUUUUUCUGGCAUAGCAAAAUUUUGCAGUUACUUAAGAUAUUUAUGUAUGUGUUGUUUAAUCUGUGGCAAUAGACAUAAUGUAUGAAUUCCAAAUGCUGACAGAGAAAAUGUUUUUUGUCUUUUAAUGUAAUUAAUUUUAAAAAGCAUUUAAAUUGGGUAAAUAUUUCAACAGUGAUACACCAUUACAAAUUUCUUCUGUAGUGAGAAUUAAAAGCUAAUACUGCUUCUCUAGACAAAAUGAAGGUCUUAUCUUUUGGGGCAUUUCAGUGUGAAAUCUGAACUGAAGCAACUGUCAAAAAAAAAACAAGACCCAGAGUCAAGCUUCCUUCCUUGUUUUUAUAGCUGUGUGGAUGAGAUUUGUCCGGGUCGCACAGCGUCCAUGUUCAAAUGAACACUCAGCCAAUCAAACCUACAGUACAUCUUUUCUUCACAACACCUCUCACAUGACCCUAAAAGCUUUUACACUGUACAGAAAUGGAAAAUGUGCUUCCUUUCAUUUGAGCAGAGUGAAUGAUUUGGCACUUGGAUGGCUGUUCUGUUUUAUUCUUGAAAAACAAGCUUGAAAAUUCGGGACACACUAAUAUCUCCCGCUGUGACCUCUGAAUUUGAUAAAAACUUCUACUUAUGAGAAAUUUUUUAUAUAUUUGUCAUUUUUUUUUUUUUACAAAAAGCUAAGUUUUGAAAAUAAAAUGAUUGGAUUCUA
Polypterus senegalus (gray bichir) is the source of this 1821-nucleotide long non-coding RNA. RefSeq lists it as uncharacterized. The record is from RefSeq and is a predicted model, not a curated record. Lineage: Eukaryota; Metazoa; Chordata; Cladistia; Polypteriformes; Polypteridae. The transcript has 2 exons.